CACCAAACAAGAGAAGAGAAGAGAAGAGAAGAGAAGAGAAGAGAAGAGAAGAGAAGAGAAGAGAAGAGAAGAGAAGAGAAGAGAAGAGAAGAGAAGAGAAGAGAAGAGAAGAGAAGAGAAGAGAAGAGAAGAGAAGAGAAGAGAAGAGAAGAGGGAAAAAAAAAGAAAAGAAUCAGCUCCACCUGAGUUGUUCAGUCUCUCAGGUUACCUUCUCUAAAUAAGACUCCUCCUGGGUCAGCUGUCAGUGGAUGAUGUGUCUUUAAUGUGCAGUGGGGCAUGGAACAGGAACCCUGUUGAAUGGACUUGACUGGUCGGUGAUGGCAGGAUCAGGUGUCGCUCUGAGGCUGCAUGAGUUCAGAGAGCCUCAGGACUCUAAAGAGCUCGACAGACCAACUAAACUAACCCCGAAAGCCGUUGGUUUGUUGCAGGAUGUGGAUGCUUUACUUGGACUUGGCGGGCUUCUCGGUCUUCUUGGGCAGCAGCACAGCCUGGAUGUUGGGCAGCACGCCGCCCUGAGCGAUCGUCACUCCGCCCAGCAGCUUGUUGAGCUCCUCGUCGUUGCUUCUUUUAAAUCACACCUGCACAUCAAAUCAGAUGUCAAACUGAC
Molecule: long non-coding RNA, 607 nt
Organism: Amphiprion ocellaris (clown anemonefish)
Lineage: Eukaryota; Metazoa; Chordata; Actinopteri; Pomacentridae
Source: Ensembl